UAGGGAAUCUUCGGCAAUGGGGGCAACCCUGACCGAGCAACGCCGCGUGAGUGAAGAAGGUUUUCGGAUCGUAAAGCUCUGUUGUAAGUCAAGAACGAGUGUGAGAGUGGAAAGUUCACACUGUGACGGUAGCUUACCAGAAAGGGACGGCUAACUACGUGCCAGCAGCCGCGGUAAUACGUAGGUCCCGAGCGUUGUCCGGAUUUAUUGGGCGUAAAGCGAGCGCAGGCGGUUUGAUAAGUCUGAAGUUAAAGGCUGUGGCUCAACCAUAGUUCGCUUUGGAAACUGUCAAACUUGAGUGCAGAAGGGGAGAGUGGAAUUCCAUGUGUAGCGGUGAAAUGCGUAGAUAUAUGGAGGAACACCGGUGGCGAAAGCGGCUCUCUGGUCUGUAACUGACGCUGAGGCUCGAAAGCGUGGGGAGCGAACAGGAUUAGAUACCCUGGUAGUCCACGCCGUAAACGAUGAGUGCUAGGUGUUGGAUCCUUUCCGGGAUUCAGUGNCGCAGCUAACGCAUUAAGCACUCCGCCUGGGGAGUACNACCGCAAGGUUG
This 550-nucleotide ribosomal RNA is filed under the name uncultured bacterium. Its description in RNAcentral is "bacterial SSU rRNA". It matches the Rfam family "Bacterial small subunit ribosomal RNA", at positions 355 to 896 of the family's 1533-position model. The record is from RNAcentral.